AUGGAUUAACGAGAUUCCCACUGUCCCUAUCUACUAUCUAGUGAACCCACAGGCAGGGGAACGGGCCUGCAAGACACAGCGGGGAAAGAAGACCCUGUUGAGCUUGACUCUAGUCUGAUUUUGUAGAGAGACAUGAGAGGUGUAGCAUAAGUGGGAGGGGUAAGACCCGACAGUGAAAUACCACUACUUUCAUCGUUUCUUUACUUACUCGGGGAGACGGAAGCGGACCCCCGCGGUCCUUCUUCUAGCCUUAAGCGGCCGGCUUCGCGUCGGCCGCGAUCCGCUCCGAGGACAUUAUCAGGCGGGGAGUUUGACUGGGGCGGUACAUCUGUCAAACGAUAACGCAGGUGUCCUAAGGCCAGCUCAGCGAGGACAGAAACCUCGCGUAGAGCAAAAGGGCAAAUGCUGGCUUGAUCCUGAUUUUCAGUACGAAUACGGACCGCGAAAGCGUGGCCUAUCGAUCCUUUUGACUUUAAGAGUUUUAAGCAAGAGGUGUCAGAAAAGUUACCCACAGGGAUAACUGGCUUGUGGCGGGCAAGCGUUCAUAGCGACGUCGCUUUUUUGAUC
RNAcentral lists this ribosomal RNA (567 nucleotides) under Harpiosquilla harpax. RNAcentral's name for it is "eukaryotic LSU rRNA". It matches the Rfam family "Eukaryotic large subunit ribosomal RNA", at positions 2319 to 2875 of the family's 3401-position model. Lineage: Eukaryota; Metazoa; Arthropoda; Malacostraca; Stomatopoda; Squillidae. The record is from RNAcentral.